CACGAGUUUUCUCACCGGAUUGCUUCCUCAAGGUAUCACAUUCUUGAGUAAGGUUCUCCCUGCUAGCGUGUGUCUACGAUGGAUGAUAGUCAAUCUAAGUCACAUCGUGAGGAUGGCUAGCAUUGUGUAUAAUUUACAAAAAGAGUAAACCGAAAAAACAAGCAGAUGGGUACUACUUAAUUGAGUCUCUCUGUGCAAACUCUGUAUGUUUGCACGGAUCCAUGAAACCUAAGUUCUCAAUCCAUAUGUAACAUCCGGAGC
This is a long non-coding RNA of Rhodamnia argentea, 261 nucleotides long. RefSeq lists it as uncharacterized. The record is from RefSeq and is a predicted model, not a curated record. Lineage: Eukaryota; Viridiplantae; Streptophyta; Magnoliopsida; Myrtales; Myrtaceae. The transcript is spliced from 3 exons.